This 453-nucleotide ribosomal RNA is filed under the name uncultured Leptolinea sp. Its description in RNAcentral is "bacterial SSU rRNA". It matches the Rfam family "Bacterial small subunit ribosomal RNA", at positions 917 to 1381 of the family's 1533-position model. Lineage: Bacteria; Bacillati; Chloroflexota; Anaerolineae; Anaerolineales; Anaerolineaceae. The record is from RNAcentral.
CGGGCCCGCACAAGCAGCGGAGCGUGUGGUUUAAUUCGAUGCUACACGAAGAACCUUACCAGGGUUUGACAUGCAAGUGGUAGGAAACCGAAAGGUGACCGACCCUUCGGGGAGCUUGCACAGGUGCUGCAUGGCUGUCGUCAGCUCGUGUCGUGAGAUGUUCGGUUAAGUCCGCUAACGAGCGCAACCCUCGCUGUGUGUUAUAUGUGUCACACGGGACUGCCGGUCUUAAGCCGGAGGAAGGUGGGGAUGAUGUCAAGUCAGCAUGGCCUUUAUAUCCUGGGCUACACACACGCUACAAUGGCCAGCACAGUAGGUUGCUAAGCCGCGAGGUGGAGCCAAUCCAUAAAGCUGGUCUCAGUUCAGAUUGCAGGCUGCAACCCGCCUGCAUGAAGAUGGAGCUGCUAGUAACCGCAGGUCAGCUAUACUGCGGUGAAUACGUUCCCGGGCCUU